Molecule: ribosomal RNA, 501 nt
Filed under: Heptageniidae environmental sample
Lineage: Eukaryota; Metazoa; Arthropoda; Insecta; Ephemeroptera; Heptageniidae
Description: bacterial SSU rRNA
Rfam family: Eukaryotic small subunit ribosomal RNA
Source: RNAcentral
CCGGUGGGACUCGGCGCAGCCGGAGCUCCGUAACUAUACCCUCCGCGCUGCUCUUAACCGAGUGGUUCGGUGGGCCGGCACGUUUACUUUGAACAAAUUUGAGUGCUCAAAGCAGGCCUUACGUUGCCUGGAAACUGUGUGCAUGGAAUAAUGAAAGAGGACCUUGGUUCUAUUUUGUUGGCUUUCUGAACUCGAGGUAAUGAUUAACAGGGACAGACGGGGGCAUUCGUAUUGCGACGUUAGAGGUGAAAUUCUUGGAUCGUCGCAAGACGGACCGAUGGGAAAGCGUUUGCCAAGAAUGUUUUCGCUAAUCAAGAACGAAAGUUAGAGGUUCGAACGCGAUUAGAUACCGCCCUAGUUCUACCAUAACGAUGUCAGCCAGCGAUGCGCCGAUGUUCUCCGAUGACACCGCGCGCAACUUCCCGGGAAACCAAGCUUUUGGNNUCCGGGGAAGUAUNGUUGCAAAGCUGAAACUUAAAGGAUUGACCGAAAGGCACACCA